AGUAUUGGUUAAGGCUUGCUAUGGUUACGCACUGAUAUCCUGUCAAUCGACUCGAUAUUGUAGGCUCUUGUGUCUGUGAGGUUCUUAUGGUCGUAGGUGUGACAUCGUGACUAGGGAAAUUCCCCGGACUGAAAUGGCAGAAAGUGCCGCUCCGAAAGGAGUACUAACGGUCAUUGAUUCAAGGCGAAGAUAGGAUGAGUCUACGUUUUGGUGGCUGUGAAUUGGUCGUUAUCAAAGAUAUGCAGGCAACCUUCUGAUGACUUCGUUACGUCAGAGGGCGAACAGAAUGGGGCUUACUCUAACCAAUAC
Molecule: RNase MRP RNA, 309 nt
Filed under: Blastocystis sp. ATCC 50177/Nand II
Lineage: Eukaryota; Bigyra; Opalinata; Blastocystidae
Description: Blastocystis sp. ATCC 50177 RNase MRP
Rfam family: RNase MRP
About the family: RNase MRP is an enzymatically active ribonucleoprotein with two distinct roles in eukaryotes.
Source: Rfam by way of RNAcentral